CAGAGUUGCAAGACUCCCUAAACCAUUGUGAACCUACCUUCUACCGUUGCUUCGGCGGGCGGGCCCAGCGCCCCCCCCGGCCCCCCGCGGGCACCCGCCGGAGGAUACCCAAACUCUUGACAUUAGUGGCCUCUCUGAGUAUUCUUUACUGAAUAAGUCA
RNAcentral lists this unclassified non-coding RNA (160 nucleotides) under soil metagenome. RNAcentral describes it as "partial internal transcribed spacer 1". The record is from RNAcentral.